GUUAGGAAUAUUGGACAAUGGGCGCAAGCCUGAUCCAGCCAUGCCGCGUGAACGAUGAAGGCCUUCGGGUUGUAAAGUUCUUUAGCCGAUGAUUAUAAUGACUGUAGUCGGAAAAUAAGCCCCGGCUAACUUCGUGCCAGCAGCCGCGGUAAUACGAAGGGGGCGAGCGUUAUUCGGAAUCACUGGGCGUAAAGCGUGCGUAGGCGGUUUUGUAAGUUAGGAGUGAAAGCCCAGGGCUCAACCUUGGAAUUGCUCUUAAAACUGCAAGGCUCGAAUCUCGGAGAGGAUAGCGGAAUUUCCAGUGUAGCAGUGAAAUGCGUAGAUAUUGGAAGGAACACCAGUGGCGUAAGCGGCUAUCUGGACGAGUAUUGACGCUGAGGCACGAAAGCGUGGGGAUCAAACAGGAUUAGAAACCCUAGUAGUCC
This 425-nucleotide ribosomal RNA is filed under the name uncultured bacterium. RNAcentral describes it as "partial 16S ribosomal RNA". It matches the Rfam family "Bacterial small subunit ribosomal RNA", at positions 354 to 796 of the family's 1533-position model. The record is from RNAcentral.